Molecule: long non-coding RNA, 175 nt
Organism: Haliotis rubra (blacklip abalone)
Lineage: Eukaryota; Metazoa; Mollusca; Gastropoda; Lepetellida; Haliotidae
Exons: 3
Source: RefSeq, a predicted model, not a curated record
CAGCAGCAGCAAUGCUUGUCGAGCUGUUGGUAGCUGUCAUUUUGACAACAUCAGUUGACUCUAUGAAAACUCAGAAGGGGAGAAACUUCCUUCUUCCAUUCUUGGACACAACUGGAUCAGCACGUUUGAUGUUCAUAACGGACAAACCGACGGAAAUAAACAUAAACAUAAUGCC